GAUGAACGCUGGCGGCGUGCCUAAUACAUGCAAGUCGAGCGAACAGACGAGGAGCUUGCUCCUCUGACGUUAGCGGCGGACGGGUGAGUAGCACGUGGAUAACCUACCUAUAAGACUGGGAUAACUUCGGGAAACCGGAGCUAAUACCGGAUAAUAUAUUGAACCGCAUGGUUCAAUAGUGAAAGACGGUUUUGCUGUCACUUAUAGAUGGAUCCGCGCCGCAUUAGCUAGUUGGUAAGGUAACGGCUUACCAAGGCAACGAUGCGUAGCCGACCUGAGAGGGUGAUCGGCCACACUGGAACGGAGACACGGUCCAGACUCCUACGGGAGGCAGCAGUAGGGAAUCUUCCGCAAUGGGCGAAAGCCUGACGGAGCAACGCCGCGUGAGUGAUGAAGGUCUUCGGAUCGUAAAACUCUGUUAUGAGGGAAGAACAAAUGUGUAAGUAACUAUGCACGUCUUGACGGUACCUAAUCAGAAAGCCACGGCUAACUACGUG
Molecule: ribosomal RNA, 497 nt
Filed under: uncultured bacterium
Lineage: Bacteria
Description: partial 16S ribosomal RNA
Rfam family: Bacterial small subunit ribosomal RNA
Source: RNAcentral